UAGGGAAUCUUCGGCAAUGGACGAAAGUCUGACCGAGCAACGCCGCGUGAGUGAAGAAGGUUUUCGGAUCGUAAAACUCUGUUGGUAGAGAAGAACGUUGGUGAGAGUGGAAAGCUCAUCAAGUGACGGUAACUACCCAGAAAGGGACGGCUAACUACGUGCCAGCAGCCGCGGUAAUACGUAGGUCCCGAGCGUUGUCCGGAUUUAUUGGGCGUAAAGCGAGCGCAGGUGGUUUAUUAAGUCUGGUGUAAAAGGCAGGGGCUCAACCAUUGUAUGCAUUGGAAACUUGUAGACUUGAGUGCAGGAGAGGAGAGUGGAAUUCCAUGUGUAGCGGUGAAAUGCGUAGAUAUAUGGAGGAACACCGGUGGCGAAAGCGGCUCUCUGGCCUGUAACUGACACUGAGGCUCGAAAGCGUGGGGAGCAAACA
RNAcentral lists this ribosomal RNA (427 nucleotides) under uncultured bacterium. Its description in RNAcentral is "partial 16S ribosomal RNA". It matches the Rfam family "Bacterial small subunit ribosomal RNA", at positions 355 to 774 of the family's 1533-position model. The record is from RNAcentral.